CGUCAAGUGAACGAGUGAAGAGCUGUGAAAGAGCAAUUGCAUUCGCAACCAGUUCAUUGCACUACCGCCGCGACUACCUGCUGCUGCAGCCGGGCAAUAAAUUCUUGACUUUCGCAUGAAUAUUCACGCCUAUUUGUUUGCUUAUCGCUGGAGCUGAUAAACAAUUGCUGCAAAAAAUCCAAAUCAAACCUAAUUUUUUAACAAAAAUAAUAAGUAUUCUACACAAUAACUAAAGUACUAUAAUAUCUGUGCAAACAGCAGAGUGUGGGAGAUGCGCUUGUGGAAAAAAUUGACGUUAAGCUAAAUUGUAU
Long non-coding RNA from Rhagoletis zephyria (snowberry fruit fly), 311 nucleotides. RefSeq lists it as uncharacterized. The record is from RefSeq and is a predicted model, not a curated record. Lineage: Eukaryota; Metazoa; Arthropoda; Insecta; Diptera; Tephritidae.